UACGUAGGGUGCGAGCGUUGUCCGGAAUUAUUGGGCGUAAAGGGCUCGUAGGCGGUCUGUCACGUCGGGAGUGAAAACACGGGGCUUAACCCCGUGCCUGCUUCCGAUACGGGCAGACUAGAGGUAUGCAGGGGAGAACGGAAUUCCUGGUGUAGCGGUGAAAUGCGCAGAUAUCAGGAGGAACACCGGUGGCGAAGGCGGGUCUCUGGGCCGUAACUGACGCUGAGGAGCGAAAGCGUGGGGAGCGAACAGG
This 253-nucleotide ribosomal RNA is filed under the name uncultured bacterium. Its description in RNAcentral is "partial 16S ribosomal RNA". It matches the Rfam family "Bacterial small subunit ribosomal RNA", at positions 524 to 776 of the family's 1533-position model. The record is from RNAcentral.